Phthorimaea operculella (potato tuberworm) is the source of this 72-nucleotide non-coding RNA. Lineage: Eukaryota; Metazoa; Arthropoda; Insecta; Lepidoptera; Gelechiidae. The record is from the annotation of a GenBank genome assembly.
GCGCCCGUAGCUCAGUAGGUAGAGCGGUGGAACGGUGAUCCACAGUCCCGGGUUCAAGUCCUGGCGGUUGCU